This 400-nucleotide ribosomal RNA is filed under the name uncultured bacterium. Its description in RNAcentral is "bacterial SSU rRNA". It matches the Rfam family "Bacterial small subunit ribosomal RNA", at positions 975 to 1375 of the family's 1533-position model. The record is from RNAcentral.
CAGCCCUUGACAUGGCAGGACGGUUUCCAGAGAUGGAUUCCUUCACUUCGGUGACUUGCACACAGGUGCUGCAUGGCUGUCGUCAGCUCGUGUCGUGAGAUGUUGGGUUAAGUCCCGCAACGAGCGCAACCCUCGCCUUUAGUUGCCAUCAUUUAGUUGGGCACUCUAGAGGGACUGCCGGUGAUAAGCCGGAGGAAGGUGGGGAUGACGUCAAGUCUUCAUGGCCCUUACGGGCUGGGCUACACACGUGCUACAAUGGCGGUGACAGAGGGCAGCUAGUCCGCGAGGACAUGCUAAUCCCUAAAAGCCGUCUCAGUUCGGAUUGCACUCUGCAACUCGAGUGCAUGAAGUUGGAAUUGCUAGUAAUCGCAGAUCAGCACGCUGCGGUGAAUACGUUCCC